RNAcentral lists this ribosomal RNA (828 nucleotides) under Heterotruncatella spartii. RNAcentral describes it as "partial 28S ribosomal RNA". It matches the Rfam family "Eukaryotic large subunit ribosomal RNA", at positions 69 to 922 of the family's 3401-position model. Lineage: Eukaryota; Fungi; Ascomycota; Sordariomycetes; Amphisphaeriales; Sporocadaceae. The record is from RNAcentral.
CAGGGAUUGCCUUAGUAACGGCGAGUGAAGCGGCAAUAGCUCAAAUUUGAAAUCUGGCGCUUGCGUCCGAGUUGUAAUUUGUAGAGGAUGAUUUUGGUUAGGUACCUUUCGAGUUCCUUGGAACAGGACGCCUUAGAGGGUGAGAGCCCCGUACGAUUGGAUGCCGAGCCUUUGUAAAUCUCCUUCGACGAGUCGAGUAGUUUGGGAAUGCUGCUCUAAAUGGGAGGUAAAUUUCUUCUAAAGCUAAAUACCGGCCAGAGACCGAUAGCGCACAAGUAGAGUGAUCGAAAGAUGAAAAGCACUUUGAAAAGAGGGUUAAAUAGCACGUGAAAUUGUUGAAAGGGAAGGAUUUAUGACCAGACUUUUUCUAGGAGGAUCAUCCGGUGUUCUCACCGGUGCACUUCUUCUAGUUUAGGCCAGCAUCGACUUCUGGCGGCGGAUAAAAGCUUUAGGAAUGUGGCUCUCUACGGGGAGUGUUAUAGCCUAUUGUAUAAUACGCUGCUGGGGGUCGAGGUACGCGCUUCUGCAAGGAUGCUGGCGUAAUGGUUAUCAAUCACCCGUCUUGAAACACGGACCAAGGAGUCGAACAUUUAUGCGAGUGUUUGGGUGUUAAACCCUCACGCGUAAUGAAAGUGAACGGAGGUGAGAGCCCUUACGGGUGCAUCAUCGACCGAUCCUGAAGUUUUCGGAUGGAUUUGAGUAAGAGCAUAACUGUUCGGACCCGAAAGAUGGUGAACUAUGCGUGGAUAGGGUGAAGCCAGAGGAAACUCUGGUGGAGGCUCGCAGCGGUUCUGACGUGCAAAUCGAUCGUCAAAUCUGCGCAUGGGG